This 254-nucleotide ribosomal RNA is filed under the name uncultured bacterium. RNAcentral describes it as "partial 16S ribosomal RNA". It matches the Rfam family "Bacterial small subunit ribosomal RNA", at positions 524 to 776 of the family's 1533-position model. The record is from RNAcentral.
UACGAAGGGGGCUAGCGUUGCUCGGAUUGACUGGGCGUAAAGGGCGCGUAGGCGGUUCGUACAGUCAGACGUGAAAUUCCUGGGCUCGAACCUGGGGGCUGCGUUUGAUACGUGCGGACUUGAGUGCGGAAGAGGGUCGUGGAAUUCCCAGUGUAGAGGUGAAAUUCGUAGAUAUUGGGAAGAACACCGGUGGCGAAGGCGGCGACCUGGUCCGAUACUGACGCUGAGGCGCGAAAGCGUGGGGAGCAAACAGG